Seriola aureovittata is the source of this 3277-nucleotide long non-coding RNA. RefSeq lists it as uncharacterized. The transcript has 4 exons. Lineage: Eukaryota; Metazoa; Chordata; Actinopteri; Carangiformes; Carangidae. The record is from RefSeq and is a predicted model, not a curated record.
AGACGGUCACAGACGAGAGCGGCUGCGGUUAACGAGCGGAGCUAAGUUUCAAAGGCAAGACAGCAGACAUCAUGAAGUCCUAAGUCGAAGAAUUGAAGACUAAAGGGACUUUUCACCAACAUUCACCAUUCCUGUGAUUCAACAAUAAUGGUACAGGGAAUAAUGCAGGUAUCUAGAUUCUCUCAGAUCCAGGACUUGCUCACAGCCGCUACAGCAUCUGCAUUGAUAUGAGUGCUACCUACCAAGUUGACUUAUCCUCUCACAGGAAAUACCGAAAAAAAGGUUUAAUGAAAGAGUGCAGAGGCUGAGAGGAGAAGCUGUGUAUAUGUCUGGAAUGACAGCUUAACAACCCAGCAGACAGACAAGACAACCAGUGAACCUUAUUACAUGUAUAUAUGGAAAGUCAAGGUCCAUGUCUCUGCUUCUCCCACUGUAACUCAAGCAGUAACAGCUCCUGGACUAGAAACAUGCUGAGGCAGCGAGGAGAGAUGGUAAUCAGAUUAGUUUUCCCAAAACUUUAUGCAAGGCAGAUGGCCAUCAGUUGUGACUAUGUCACUCUGUUAAGGCCUUUGUUGUUCCUGAUAAAUCAUGGCGGCUUGAUGGACAGUGAUGAAGAGCUGGAAAAAAGUGUUUAGCUGACUUUGCUGCUUCAAGAGCAUCGGAUCAGCCAGAGAAAGAAUCGAAGGUAAUUGGAUUCAAUAAAAUUGUGCUGCAAUUGAUCAUUCUGUAGGUUUGGAAAGUUGAGGCUUUGGCUCACAGAUAUACACACAUGUCCUCACACAUACACACACACACACACACACACACACACAUACACACAUACACACAUCCGCUGCUCGCACUCGUCACGUCAAACAAAGUGAGAUGGCCUAGAUAGGUAGACGGGGAGACAAGCAGGGUGUUAGAGGGAGCAGAAAGGAGUGGGGAUCUGAGGCCAGAUUCAUUUCCACCUCCAGUGGAGGGAGACCACCUAUUUAGCCUGUCUGUGAGAGGCCAGGCCACAGGGACGAUAACAGAUCACAGCCCAUCAGCCGUCAGAGCUCAGAUCUAACUGAUGACGUUGAGAAGAGAAGUCAUGGCUGCAUUUCACGAACUGAAAGAAUGGAGGAGGAGCCCCAAUCUCCUGUCUUCCCACCUCAUUACCCACACCUGGAUAGGACUGCAGGGGAUCCUAAUUUAAGUCACUCGUUAGCAACGUCCUAAUGCGUUCUGACAGCAACAAGAGCAGGGGAUGGAGGGGAGGUGAAAGAGAGACUGAAGGAGAAAGAGGGUGAGGAAGGGUGAAGGAGGCAUAGAAUUGUCUUGACAGAGACAACCAGAAGGAGGGGAGGCAUCUGUGCAUUACGAGAACUAUUCUUAUUUCUUGCUUUGAUUUCCAUAAAAUGAGCAUCAUCCUAAAUCAUCCGAGCCCUCCGCCGGUGGCCUUGUAUGCAUAAACCAUUAGGUUCCAUUGCUAAUGCACAUAAACUAAUGAACACAGUAUCGUUUUCCACUACUGUACACCGCCGCACAACAGGAAAUCAAAUAAAACCCUGUUUACCAAAUAAAUUCUUCUGUGUCUGUUAGGCCUGCCUCCGGUUGAUUGUAUGUUUUGCAGCAGACACAGCUGCACGGUGGCUACAAACAACACAACACAUCAGCAUGCUGGGUAAUGGAUCGGAAGAAAUUAUCAAGGGAGUUGUGGUAAAUUUGACUUCUGAAAGUGAAGCGUGGUGAAUUUACACCUCCAAAUGGGUUUGGAACAAGGUCGGAAAGAUUUUCAGUAAAAGCAAAUCCCUUUGUCUGCCCGAGACGUGGAAGGAUAUAUCCUCCAUUACCUUACAAUUGCAAGAACCCAUGUUCACCUCUAGCACAAAUCCCAUUUCACUGGCCCCAGCAAAAUGUUUUACAAGAUUUCCAUAUUAGGCCAGUUACAUCCCAUAUUUAGUAAUUGAAAGUCAAUGAAUGUCUCUUCCACGAGACUGCUGGUAAAAAACAGUUGUGAUAUUCGUUUGAGGUGGGAAAAGGGGGUUUGUAGGUCUUUAACAAAUGGGGCAGAGAGAAAUUUAGAAACACUUAGAAAAUAAAGACUAAGAAGCUCAAAUUUGGUAUUUAUUAUUAUCUCUGUUACUUUCUAAACUUUUACUUGAUCGUAGCAGAAAAGAAGCAGAGACCAAAGAAAUAGGUCCCAGGAAAGCUGGACUCAGAUGAAGCAGGUGUCAACUGACUCACCAGGAAGCCAUUAUUUUUUUACAUAUAACCCUCCAAAAUUUCCAUUUUCUGUGAUAUGAAAAAUCUGAAGUUUGAGAGAGUCAUUUUGAGUCUGAGGCAACACAGCUGCGAACUCCUCUAAAACUGGGAGACAACAAACUGAAUAAGAGAGACGGUUGGAGAGGCUGGGGAUCAGCAAGUUCAUCUUGAUAAAUAUGAGAAAAUGUUCCAAACCGACUCAUUAUUCCUGACCUGGUGUAUAAUUCUGGCUCGGCAGCCUGUCGAAGCAGCGCGGUGAGAAGCAGAGAGAGAGGGAGGGAAGUGACAGGAGAAGAGCAGAGGGAAAGAACAGCUGGUGACAAUACGCUUCAUGUUGGCAUUUGCGGAUGAAAAGGGACCUUCAACCUUCAAAGGCACUGAAAGACGAGUGUGAGAAGAAAAAGGCGAAAUAAUAAUAAAGUGCCAGAAUUAAUGGACCUGCAGCGGACAUCACUGUUGUUUUUUUUUGUUUGUUUGUUUGUUUUUUUAAGGGAAACUGACACUUGUUAUCAUUGAUAGCAAAAACAGAACCUUGUGGGAAAAGUUAGUGGUUAAAAAUUGUUCAUUUUGCAGAUUUGAUGUUGAGUGUAAAAUUAUUAAACUGUAAACAUUAGACACAGCCGAUGACGAUGAUACAGCAGCUAAAGAGUAGGUUGUCUGAAAUGACGCAUCCAGCCUGUGAUUAAAUUUACAGGAAACACAGCAGGGAAGUAGUGUAUUCAUUUGACUUAUAGUUUUCUGUACCAAUGAGUGCAGUUGGACACUCAGCAACUCAAAAUUACUUUAUAUAAGCCGAGAGUUUGAAAUGUAAAAAUGUUGGCAUAUUUUUUUCAGAGGUAUUUCUUUGUGGAGAGUUUAACCUCAAACUACGUGACUCAGCGAGGAUUGUAGAAAUACCAUGGUCAUGGUUACGAAUUAACCUUAGUAUCUUCAACAAUAGCUACAACCCUGAACAUUUGACAAAUGAAAAUUAACAUUCCUAGAGGAUUCAACAUGUACGACCUCAUAUUUUAUGAUUCACCUGAUAAACUGAGAAUAAACGUCAGUG